Molecule: ribosomal RNA, 1001 nt
Filed under: uncultured bacterium
Lineage: Bacteria
Description: bacterial SSU rRNA
Rfam family: Bacterial small subunit ribosomal RNA
Source: RNAcentral
AGAAUGAACGCUGGCGGCGUGCUUAACACAUGCAAGUCGCACGAGAACUCUUCUGCUUGCAGAAGAUAGUAAAGUGGCGCACGGGUGAGUAACGCGUGGGUAAUCUACCUCUGAAUUGGGGAUAACAUUGUGAAAGCGAUGCUAAUACCGAAUAAUAUCCCGAGAACCUAGGUUUUUGGGAUCAAAGGUGGCCUCUACAUGUAAGCUACUGUUUAGAGAUGAGCCCGCGUACCAUUAGCUUGUUGGUAGGGUAAUGGCCUACCAAGGCAACGAUGGUUAGCUGGUCUGAGAGGAUGAUCAGCCACACUGGAACUGACACACGGUCCAGACUCCUACGGGAGGCAGCAGUGAGGAAUUUUGCGCAAUGGGGGAAACCCUGACGCAGCAACGCCGCGUGAGUGAUGAAGGCUUUCGAGUCGUAAAGCUCUGUCAAGUGAGAAGAACCUGUCCCGCGAUAAUACCGCGGGAUACUGACGGUAUCACUGAAGGAAGCACCGGCUAACUCCGUGCCAGCAGCCGCGGUAAUACGGGGGGUGCAAGCGUUAUUCGGAAUUAUUGGGCGUAAAGGGCGCGUAGGCGGUCUUUUAAGUCAGAUGUGAAAGCCCGGGGCUCAACCCCGGAAGAGCAUUUGAAACUAAUGGACUUGAGUAUGGGAGAGGGAAGUGGAAUUCCUGGUGUAGAGGUGAAAUUCGUAGAUAUCAGGAGGAACACCGGUGGCGAAGGCGACUUCCUGGACCAAUACUGACGCUGAGGCGCGAAGGCGUGGGGAGCAAACAGGAUUAGAUACCCUGGUAGUCCACGCAGUAAACGGUGAACACUAGGUGUAGCGGGUAUUGACCCCUGCUGUGCCGCAGUUAACGCAUUAAGUGUUCCGCCUGGGGAGUACGACCGCAAGGUUAAAACUCAAGGAAUUGACGGGGCCCGCACAAGCGGUGGAGCAUGUGGUUUAAUUCGACGCACGCGAAGACCUUACCUGGAUUUGACAUCCCGAGUAGUCUCUC